RNAcentral lists this ribosomal RNA (173 nucleotides) under uncultured bacterium. Its description in RNAcentral is "partial 16S ribosomal RNA". It matches the Rfam family "Bacterial small subunit ribosomal RNA", at positions 359 to 525 of the family's 1533-position model. The record is from RNAcentral.
UAUCUUCCACAAUGGACGCAAGUCUGAUGGAGCAACGCCGCGUGAGUGAAGAAGGUUUUCGGAUCGUAAAGCUCUGUUGUUGGUGAAGAAAGAUAGUGAGAGUAACUGCUCAUUAUUUGCCGGUAAUCAACCAGAAAGUAACGGCUAACUACGUGCCAGCAGCCGCGGUAAUA